AAAGUCGUAACAAGGUUUCCGUAGGUGAACCUGCGGAAGGAUCAUUACCGUGGGGGCUUCGGCCCCCUCGAGAUAGAACCCUUGCCUUUUUCGAGUACCUUCGUUUUCCUCGGCAGGCUCGCCUGCCAAUGGGGACCCCAACAAACCCUUUGUAAUGCCUGCAAUCGUCUGACAAAACAAGCAAAAAUCAAAACUUUCAACAACGGAUCUCUUGGUUCUG
RNAcentral lists this unclassified non-coding RNA (220 nucleotides) under Ascomycota sp. Its description in RNAcentral is "partial contains small subunit ribosomal RNA, internal transcribed spacer 1, and 5.8S ribosomal RNA". The stretch from base 1 to 47 matches the Rfam family "Eukaryotic small subunit ribosomal RNA", at positions 1785 to 1831 of the family's 1831-position model. The record is from RNAcentral. Lineage: Eukaryota; Fungi; Ascomycota.